GCGACGGUAAGCUAAUCUCUUAAAACUUCUCUCAGUUCGGACUGGAGUCUGCAACUCGACUCCACGAAGGCGGAAUCGCUAGUAAUCGCGAAUCAGCAUGUCGCGGUGAAUACGUUCCCGGGUCUUGUACACACCGCCCGUCAAAUCAUGGGAGUCGGAAGUACCCAAAGUCGCUUGGCUAACUUUUAGAGGCCGGUGCCUAAGGUAAAAUCGAUGACUGGGAUUAAGUCGUAACAAGGUAGCCGUAGGAGAACCUGCGGCUGGAUCACCUCCUUUCUAAGGA
Molecule: ribosomal RNA, 283 nt
Filed under: Oenococcus oeni
Lineage: Bacteria; Bacillati; Bacillota; Bacilli; Lactobacillales; Lactobacillaceae
Description: partial 16S ribosomal RNA
Rfam family: Bacterial small subunit ribosomal RNA
Source: RNAcentral